AACGAACGCUGGCGGCAUGCCUAACACAUGCAAGUCGAACGAGACCUUCGGGUCUAGUGGCGCACGGGUGCGUAACGCGUGGGAACCUGCCCUUAGGUUCGGAAUAACUCCCCGAAAGGGGUGCUAAUACCGGAUAAUGUCUUCGGACCAAAGAUUUAUCGCCCUUGGAUGGGCCCGCGUUGGAUUAGCUAGUUGGUAGGGUAAAAGCCUACCAAGGCGACGAUCCAUAGCUGGUCUGAGAGGAUGAUCAGCCACACUGGGACUGAGACACGGCCCAGACUCCUACGGGAGGCAGCAGUGGGGAAUAUUGGACAAUGGGCGAAAGCCUGAUCCAGCAAUGCCGCGUGAGUGAUGAAGGCCUUAGGGUUGUAAAGCUCUUUUACCCAGGAUGAUAAUGACGGUACCGGGAGAAUAAGCUCCGGCUAACUCCGUG
RNAcentral lists this ribosomal RNA (433 nucleotides) under uncultured bacterium. RNAcentral's name for it is "partial 16S ribosomal RNA". It matches the Rfam family "Bacterial small subunit ribosomal RNA", at positions 29 to 507 of the family's 1533-position model. The record is from RNAcentral.